AGAAGGAGACAUGUAAGGUUAUCAUUCCUACAGAUCUGAUUUGGCAUCUCCGGUAGGCUGUCCAUGCCAUCUGGAGAAGAGGCUUUCUGCAGAGUGAAUGAAACAGCUGCAAGAGUGUUUUUUUUUAGGGAGGGAAGUGAAAAAUGUGGCAUUAGAGGAUUUGCAACCAUUGAAGAGUUUCUCCAAGUAUUAAGGGACUGAUUUCACUCCCUUUCGAAUGAAGUCAACACCACUCAUUGCUCAAACAUCUAUUUUAUAACAUGGGUUAUUGAAAUCACUGGACUUUUCAACUUAUUCCAGAAACUUUAUCCCGGAGCCACUGUAUUUCCUAUGAGUUUGUAACAUCUACAGAAUAUUAUUUAAAACCUCCUUUAAAAUGGCGACCCUAAUCAAGACCAGAGUUGUGCUGAGAUGUAUCACGGGUGAUGUUAUUUAGCUUCAACACGAUGUGCUGUAAGAAGCGAAGAUGCCAUUUGGCACAUAUUCAUGUGGAUGCAGGAACAUUUAUCAAUUACUGGAAGAUAUUCAUUUAAAAUAAUAAUAAUAAAAAUCAUUAGAAUUAGAAUUCAUUAGAAGUUUCUGGGUUUUUGUUACAAAGAAUCAGAAAGUAAUAUUUUGAUACUUAGCAAAAUUAAUACUAAAUUUCAUUUUUUGGAUGUCUUGAUCUUUCACAGAAAUAAAAAUGUCUGUUCUGGUUGUUGCAGAGACAAAAAUAGAAAACAUAGGCAGAAAUCUGGAUGGAUUUGCAGGUUUCAUAUCUGCAGCUAUUUUCUGUUCAGAAAAAUAGCAUGUUGGUUGCUGUUGUUGGGUUUUAUUUUUUUUUCCAAUGAACAAAAUAUGACUGUGGAAAUCGCAAAUCAAGUCACUCAUAUGCUGCUACUCUUUGGAGAAAUUUAUAUAGAACUUCCAUCUGUGAUAUCUGAGGAAUUAAUGAUGUUUAGAAAGUAAUAGAAGGAAUCAGUAUAAGUGAAUCAGCUAAGAAAAUUAAGCAAAUAAAAAUUCAUGGUUGAUUCCUCUCCAAAAGUAAUCUUGAUCUUGACUGACUUUUUUUGAUGAUACUUGGCUUCAGUUAUAAUUAUCAUAUUAGUUAUUUAGCCUUACAGCUUGGUAGGAAAUCUUGGGUUCAGGAAGGUUAUCCAUGGACCAUGGGUUGAUUACAUGACUAUCAUCUUAAGCUGUUCUUAAUCUUUCAUAGUUUUCAUUACAAAUCAAAUAGCACAGUCCUUUGGUUGUUCAUCAGAAUCAGUCAUAUAUAUUGUUCUUAUUCUGUUUGGAAUGCACUAUUUUAUGAAGAACUUUGAAAUGUAAGAGUAUUAGGUAGAGUUUAUUCAAGUAGAGUUCUACAACUCACAAGAACUGGAAAUCCUAAGAACACUUCAGACCCUGCUGCCGUAGCAGUAUGGAUGGGUUUAGUAAGAUUAAAAAAAAAAUGUAAUUCUUUGCAUGUAAAUGCUUUGCUUUUACCUUUGAUUGUUUAUCUUCUUGAUGCGUAGUUCAUUUUUCAGUAAUGUAGUGGAGAUGAAAUAAAACCUUGAUGCUCCUUG
This is a long non-coding RNA of Gallus gallus (chicken), 1544 nucleotides long. Lineage: Eukaryota; Metazoa; Chordata; Aves; Galliformes; Phasianidae. The record is from Ensembl.